This 448-nucleotide ribosomal RNA is filed under the name uncultured bacterium. Its description in RNAcentral is "bacterial SSU rRNA". It matches the Rfam family "Bacterial small subunit ribosomal RNA", at positions 328 to 792 of the family's 1533-position model. The record is from RNAcentral.
UGCCCAGACUCCUACGGGAGGCAGCAGUGGGGAAUAUUGCACAAUGGGGGAAACCCUGAUGCAGCGACGCCGCGUGAGUGAAGAAGUAUUUCGGUAUGUAAAGCUCUAUCAGCAGGAACGAGACAAGACGGUACCUGACUAAGAAGCCCCGGCUAACUACGUGCCAGCAGCCGCGGUAAUACGUAGGGGGCAAGCGUUAUCCGGAUUUACUGGGUGUAAAGGGAGCGUAGACGGUGCAGCAAGUCUGAUGUGAAAGGUCGGGGCCCAACCCCGGAACUGCUUUGGAAACUGUGCAGCUAGAGUGCAGGAGAGGUAAGUGGAAUUCCUAGUGUAGCGGUGAAAUGCGUAGAUAUUAGGAGGAACACCAGUGGCGAAGGCGGCUUACUGGACUGUAACUGACGUUGAGGCUCGAAAGCGUGGGGAGCAAACAGGAUUAGAUCCCCCCGUA